This 429-nucleotide ribosomal RNA is filed under the name Verrucomicrobiota bacterium. RNAcentral's name for it is "Verrucomicrobia bacterium partial 16S ribosomal RNA". It matches the Rfam family "Bacterial small subunit ribosomal RNA", at positions 355 to 776 of the family's 1533-position model. The record is from RNAcentral. Lineage: Bacteria; Pseudomonadati; Verrucomicrobiota.
UAGGGAAUCUUCCGCAAUGGACGAAAGUCUGACGGAGCAACGCCGCGUGAGUGAAGAAGGAUUUCGGUUCGUAAAACUCUGUUGUUAGGGAAGAAAAAAUGUAUAGUAAGUAUAUACAAAAGAGACGGUACCUAACCAGAAAGCCACGGCUAACUACGUGCCAGCAGCCGCGGUAAUACGUAGGUGGCAAGCGUUGUCCGGAAUUAUUGGGCGUAAAGCGCGCGCAGGUGGUUUAGAAAGUCUGAUGUGAAAGCCCACGGCUCAACCGUGGAGGGUCAUUGGAAACUAAUAAACUUGAGUGCAGGAGAGAAAAGUGGAAUUCCUAGUGUAGCGGUGAAAUGCGUAGAGAUUAGGAGGAACACCGGUGGCGAAAGCGGCUUUUUGGCCUGCAACUGACACUGAGGCGCGAAAGCGUGGGGAGCAAACAGG